GAUGAACGCUAGCGGCAGGCCUAAUACAUGCAAGUCGAACGGUAAAUAUUUUAGCAAUAGAAUAUGAGAGUGACGUACGGGUGCGUAACACGUAUGCAACCUACCCUUUACAGGAGGAUAGCUCGGGGAAACUCGAAUUAAGCCUUCAUAGUAUAAUUGGAUGGCAUCAUUUGAUUAUUAAAACUGAGGUGGUAAAGGAUGGGCAUGCGUCUGAUUAGUUAGUUGGCGGGGUAACGGCCCACCAAGACGAUGAUCAGUAGGGGAACUGAGAGGUUGAUCCCCCACACUGGCACUGAGAUACGGGCCAGACUCCUACGGGAGGCAGCAGUAGGGAAUAUUGGUCAAUGGAUGGAAGUCUGAACCAGCCAUGCCGCGUGCAGGAAGACGGCCUUCUGGGUUGUAAACUGCUUUUGCCAGGGGCUAAAAAGCUCAUGCGUGAGAAAUUGAAAGUACCUGGUGAAUAAGCCACGGCUAACUACGUGC
This 483-nucleotide ribosomal RNA is filed under the name uncultured bacterium. RNAcentral's name for it is "bacterial SSU rRNA". It matches the Rfam family "Bacterial small subunit ribosomal RNA", at positions 28 to 508 of the family's 1533-position model. The record is from RNAcentral.